This 29-nucleotide small RNA is filed under the name Bombyx mori (domestic silkworm). RNAcentral describes it as "ovarian small RNA-13425". Lineage: Eukaryota; Metazoa; Arthropoda; Insecta; Lepidoptera; Bombycidae. The record is from RNAcentral.
CAUGACUUUAAUACGGAAAUGAUGCGAAC